CACACACAGACCUUCCUCACCCACACUGCACAGCCUACAUCAAGUAAGAUAAAAAUGACAUUUUCACCACAAAAUUUUUAUAGAUGUGGAGUCCUGGGCUGUGAAUCUAGAAUCCUGCUUCUGAUCAUCCUGUUGCAUAAUGCAGGUGUGUCUCAGGAGGACUGCUGGAAUGUGACAUACACAAGAAGAGUGUAUGUUGUGGAUCAUUAG
This is a non-coding RNA of Electrophorus electricus (electric eel), 210 nucleotides long. NCBI's taxonomy places the organism in Eukaryota, Metazoa, Chordata, Actinopteri, Gymnotiformes, Gymnotidae. The record is from RefSeq and is a predicted model, not a curated record.